GAGGCGUACCAGAAGUCUCCCUGUUUAAUCCUUCAGCAUCCACCUGUGUUAUGCCAUGGAGAAGCUUUGUUUUUUCACAAGUUCUGGGAAAGCACUGUAAGAUGUACAUUGAUGAAGACAAACAA
Oreochromis niloticus (Nile tilapia) is the source of this 125-nucleotide long non-coding RNA. RefSeq lists it as uncharacterized. Lineage: Eukaryota; Metazoa; Chordata; Actinopteri; Cichliformes; Cichlidae. The transcript has 2 exons. The record is from RefSeq and is a predicted model, not a curated record.